RNAcentral lists this transfer RNA (86 nucleotides) under Acholeplasma hippikon. RNAcentral describes it as "tRNA-Leu(gag)". It matches the Rfam family "tRNA". From Rfam's summary of the family: Transfer RNA (tRNA) molecules are approximately 80 nucleotides in length. Their secondary structure includes four short double-helical elements and three loops (D, anti-codon, and T loops). Lineage: Bacteria; Bacillati; Mycoplasmatota; Mollicutes; Acholeplasmatales; Acholeplasmataceae. The record is from RNAcentral.
GCUCGGGUGGUGAAAUGGUAUACACGCAACCUUGAGGUGGUUGUGAGAGAAAUCUCAUGAGGGUUCAAAUCCCUUCCCGAGCACCA